This 421-nucleotide ribosomal RNA is filed under the name Rhizobium sp. RNAcentral describes it as "bacterial SSU rRNA". It matches the Rfam family "Bacterial small subunit ribosomal RNA", at positions 925 to 1347 of the family's 1533-position model. Lineage: Bacteria; Pseudomonadati; Pseudomonadota; Alphaproteobacteria; Hyphomicrobiales; Rhizobiaceae. The record is from RNAcentral.
ACAAGCGGUGGAGCAUGUGGUUUAAUUAGAAGCAACGCGCAGAACCUUACCAGCCCUUGACAUGUCCGGCUAUCCAGAGAGAUUUGGAGUUCCCUUCGGGGACCGGAGCACAGGUGCUGCAUGGCUGUCGUCAGCUCGUGUCGUGAGAUGUUGGGUUAAGUCCCGCAACGAGCGCAACCCUCGCCCUUAGUUGCCAGCAUUCAGUUGGGCACUGUAGGGGGACUGCCGGUGAUAAGCCGAGAGGAAGGUGGGGAUGACGUCAAGUCCUCAUGGCCCUUACGGGCUGGGCUACACACGUGCUACAAUGGUGGUGACAGUGGGCAGCGAAGGAGCGAUCCUGAGCUAAUCUCCAAAAGCCAUCUCAGUUCGGAUUGCACUCUGCAACUCGAGUGCAUGAAGUUGGAAUCGCUAGUAAUCGCGG